GCACAAGCGGAGGAACAUGUGGUUUAAUUCGAUGAUACGCGAGGAACCUUUACCCGGGCUUGAAAUGCAGACGACGGACUUGGAAACAGGUCUUCCAGCAAUGGCGUCUGUGUAGGUGCUGCAUGGUUGUCGUCAGCUCGUGCCGUGAGGUGUCGGCUUAAGUGCCAUAACGAGCGCAACCCCUAUCAUUAGUUACUAACAGGUCGAGCUGAGGACUCUAGUGAGACUGCCGCCGUAAGGUGUGAGGAAGGUGGGGAUGACGUCAAAUCAGCACGGCCCUUACGUCCGGGGCGACACACGUGUUACAAUGGCCGGUACAAAGGGCAGCGACACAGCGAUGUGAAGCGAAUCCCGAAAAGCCGGUCUCAGUCCGGAUUGGAGUCUGCAACUCGACUCCAUGAAGUUGGAAUCGCUAGUAAUCGCGGAUCAGCACGCCGCGGUCGAAUACGUUCCCGGGCCUU
Molecule: ribosomal RNA, 461 nt
Filed under: uncultured Paludibacter sp.
Lineage: Bacteria; Pseudomonadati; Bacteroidota; Bacteroidia; Bacteroidales; Paludibacteraceae
Description: bacterial SSU rRNA
Rfam family: Bacterial small subunit ribosomal RNA
Source: RNAcentral